UCUCUGGUGGCUCAGACAGUAAAGAAUCUGCCUGCAAUGUAGGAGACCCAGGUUCGAUCCCUGGGUAGGGAA
This 72-nucleotide transfer RNA is filed under the name Bos taurus (domestic cattle). It matches the Rfam family "tRNA". From Rfam's summary of the family: Transfer RNA (tRNA) molecules are approximately 80 nucleotides in length. The record is from Rfam by way of RNAcentral. Lineage: Eukaryota; Metazoa; Chordata; Mammalia; Artiodactyla; Bovidae. RNAcentral also lists the same sequence under 2 other names.